AAGGGGUACUGGGGCAGUUUGGGCACAGCAGUCAGAAAAGGCUUCCCAAGAAGGGUCCCUACAGCCUGUGGCUACACAACUUUACCACCAGAUGGCGCACACGUGUUGGAAAGGGGGUGAUGUGACUGAAUAGAGGUUGGGGGAAACCCAUCGAUCAUCGUUCCUGACUACAGAUGGAGCCAAAUUCAGAUGUACAGACCGGUGGAAGGACAAUCUGACCCUUCAAGAUAACAACAGGGACUUGAGGCUCACCAGAACACUGGCUGCACACCACGUGACAUCAAGGAACUUUGUUCAUGGAAUCCUGACCUCUGACUCAAGUCACCAGCAAGUCCCAUGAUCCCCUUCUCCCCUACAACCUUCCUGCAUGCCCCUGCGUUCCUUUUCUUCCUUGAAAAGUUAGUCUGAGAUGUGGGCUGACAUUGUUACUCUGCUCAUCUGUUGUUCUCCUGGCUGUAAAUAAAUUCCUUCUUCUGGCACUA
Molecule: long non-coding RNA, 482 nt
Organism: Galeopterus variegatus (Sunda flying lemur)
Lineage: Eukaryota; Metazoa; Chordata; Mammalia; Dermoptera; Cynocephalidae
Exons: 3
Source: RefSeq, a predicted model, not a curated record